Non-coding RNA from Triticum aestivum (bread wheat), 98 nucleotides. The record is from Rfam. NCBI's taxonomy places the organism in Eukaryota, Viridiplantae, Streptophyta, Magnoliopsida, Poales, Poaceae.
CAUCUACUCCCUCCGUUCGGAAUUACUUGUCGUGAAAAUGGAUGUAUCUAGAUACAUCCAUUUUCACGACAAGUAAUUCCGAACGGAGGGAGUAUAUG